Molecule: ribosomal RNA, 718 nt
Filed under: uncultured bacterium
Lineage: Bacteria
Description: bacterial SSU rRNA
Rfam family: Bacterial small subunit ribosomal RNA
Source: RNAcentral
AGAGUUUGAUCAUGGCUCAGAUUGAACGCUGGCGGCAUGCCUUACACAUGCAAGUCGAACGCGAAAGCGGAGCAAUCCGCAAGUAGAGUGGCGAACGGGUGAGUAAUACAUCGGAACAUAUCCAGUAGCGGGGGAUAACCUGUCGAAAGAUAGGCUAAUACCGCAUACGAUCUACGGAUGAAAGCGGGGGACCGCAAGGCCUCGCACUAUUGGAGUGGCCGAUGUCGGAUUAGCUAGUUGGUGAGGUAAAAGCUUACCAAGGCGACGAUCCGUAGCUGGUCUGAGAGGACGAUCAGCCACACUGGAACUGAGACACGGUCCAGACUCCUACGGGAGGCAGCAGUGGGGAAUUUUGGACAAUGGGGGCAACCCUGAUCCAGCCAUGCCGCGUGAGUGAAGAAGGCCUUCGGGUUGUAAAGCUCUUUCGGUGGGGACGAAACGGUUCGUGACAACACCACGGACUAAUGACGGUACCCGCAUAAGAAGCACCGGCUAACUACGUGCCAGCAGCCGCGGUAAUACGUAGGGUGCAGGCGUUAAUCGGAAUUACUGGGCGUAAAGCGUGCGCAGGCGGUUUGUUAAGACAGGUGUGAAAUCCCCGGGCUUAACCUGGGAAUUGCGCUUGUAACUGGCAGGCUAGAGUGUGGCAGAGGGGGGUGGAAUUCCACGUGUAGCAGUGAAAUGCGUAGAUAUGUGGAGGAACACCGAUGGCGAAGGC